CAUUUUUCUAGUUCUAGGUUCAGGGAAUUGAGAUCUGAAGCUCAUUUCUGUUUUCCUUUUGGGUUGUGUGUAGAGAUCAUUUUUUGGUAGAUGUUUGGGAAGUCAGUAAAAAUAGAACAGCUACUGCCCUUCCACUUGUGCCCACCUUCUGCCUUUCCCUGUCAAAGGUGGAACUUUUAUAGGGGACCAAAAGUGAGAUACAUCACUUGGAAAUUUUUGACUACAAAGAGGGCGGUGUGUGUUAUGAGCUGUCCUCCUCUGUUCUUCAGAAUUCUCACCAUUGAAACCUCUUCAACACAUUUUCAGGUGACAGAUCUCUUAGAAGUCUUGUAGAAGUUGUGGCCUUGGGGGUUGUCAAUCCAGUAAAAGGAAGAUCAUCAAUGGAAGAGAGAUAUGGUUUGUAUAGGCAGGGCAGUAGGGCGUUGAGGUCCAUGAGAAAUGGAGAUUUUCAGGAAGGAGAUGUUUGGGAUGUUCUCAACAAAAGGGAAGAUUACAAUUCCGUGGUUGGUAGUUCAAUGGAAUCCUCUCAUUUUUCUCCAAGGCGCCCCCCAAGUGCCGCCAGAAUGAUAGGUAGAGUUCAUGGCAACAGCAAUCCCAUUCAUGAGCCCAGAGUGGUUCAGCAAUCAGCACCUGUCAAAAUUCCAGACUGGUCAAAGAUCUAUGGGGAGAAUUCAAAGAAAGCCAGCUCUAACAAUGCUUCAUGGCUCGAUAACAAUGAUGAUGAAGGGGAUGUUGGUGAUGGGGUUUUGAAUGAAGGUGAUGAUAGUGGUGAUGAUGAUGAUGAUGAUACUAAGUUGCCCCCACAUGAAUGGCUUGCUAAGAAGUAUGCAAGGAGUCAAAUUUCAUCCUUUUCUGUUUUUGAAGGUGUUGGAAGGACCCUGAAAGGGAGGGACCUUAGCAGAGUAAGGAAUGCUGUUCUCACGAAAACAGGUUUCCUAGAAUAGUGGUCCUCAUUAUGCUGUCUAUAUAAACCAGUGCAAUUUUAUGUACAGAUAUUAGUUUGUGAUGUUGGUGUGAGAUGAUGAUGGUUCUGUAUAGGUUUGUGGCUUGGGUGAAGGACACAUCCAUUUUAAAUGUAAAAUACUGAAGGGAUUGAUCUGCAUUUCGCAUUUCUCCAUGGACUUUGACUGCUCUUGGGUGUGUGUCUCUUUUUAUCACUUUCACCUACUACAAUACAUAAAUUCCUUUAAUUUUACAGAAAAAAAAUGUCAGAAACAGUUUCCUUUCCACGACAGUCUUCGUAGUUAUACUCAACUUGAUUGGAAGUGCCAGAACACAAGGAGCCCACAAAGCAUGUCAGUCAUUGGGUGCUGUUUCAAGCAAGUUGCCCUCUCAAUUUGCUUUGGUAACAACAAGAACCUAGUGCUUCCAAUGCUUUUGCUUCAUCACAAAGAUGCCAGUUGGACUGGGACCCCACAGCUUCCAUCAUUUUCAUCUAUUGACACAAAACAAUCAACAUCAUUUUGGUACUACCCAUCAUCUACAUACUUGGUAGAUUGAUUAAUUUGCAAAUUUUAACUUAUGGUUUGUGAGAAAAAGGAUAUUCUGGGGAUGAUAUGAAAGAGGAGGGUAGUCAGUCACUUCAUGGUUGGACAUGAAAUGUAGAUUUUAAUGUAUUGGGGUCUUCUUAAAGAAUAGAUAGAAAAAGUUAGUUUAGUGGAGUUUGAACCCAUUUAGUACUUGUCAAUGUAGAUUGGUUAGAUUCAAAGUAAUGGAUGAUAAUGGAGCUUAAUUAA
RNA transcript from Vitis vinifera (wine grape), 1736 nucleotides. It is a transcript of the gene named protein S40-6, with no coding region annotated. The record is from RefSeq and is a predicted model, not a curated record. The transcript has 4 exons. NCBI's taxonomy places the organism in Eukaryota, Viridiplantae, Streptophyta, Magnoliopsida, Vitales, Vitaceae.